This 496-nucleotide ribosomal RNA is filed under the name uncultured bacterium. Its description in RNAcentral is "partial 16S ribosomal RNA". It matches the Rfam family "Bacterial small subunit ribosomal RNA", at positions 28 to 507 of the family's 1533-position model. The record is from RNAcentral.
GAUGAACGCUGGCGGCGUGCCUAAUACAUGCAAGUCGAGCGAACAGAUAAGGAGCUUGCUCCUUUGACGUUAGCGGCGGACGGGUGAGUAACACGUGGGUAACCUACCUAUAAGACUGGGAUAACUUCGGGAAACCGGAGCUAAUACCGGAUAACAUUUGGAACCGCAUGGUUCUAAAGUGAAAGAUGGUUUUGCUAUCACUUAUAGAAGGACCCGCGCCGUAUUAGCUAGUUGGUAAGGUAACGGCUUACCAAGGCGACGAUACGUAGCCGACCUGAGAGGGUGAUCGGCCACACUGGAACUGAGACACGGUCCAGACUCCUACGGGAGGCAGCAGUAGGGAAUCUUCCGCAAUGGCGAAAGCCUGACGGAGCAACGCCGCGUGAGUGAUGAAGGGUUUCGGCUCGUAAAACUCUGUUAUUAGGGAAGAACAAAUGUGUAAGUAACUGUGCACGUCCUGACGGUACCUAAUCAGAAAGCCACGGCUAACUACGUG